GACGAACGCUGGCGGCGUGCUUAACACAUGCAAGUCGAACGGUGAAGCCUUUCGGGGUGGAUCAGUGGCGAACGGGUGAGUAACACGUGGGCAAUCUGCCCUGCACUCUGGGACAAGCCCUGGAAACGGGGUCUAAUACCGGAUGAUACUUUCUGGGGCAUCUUGGGAAGUUGAAAGCUCCGGCGGUGCAGGAUGAGCCCGCGGCCUAUCAGCUUGUUGGUGGGGUGAUGGCCUACCAAGGCGACGACGGGUAGCCGGCCUGAGAGGGCGACCGGCCACACUGGGACUGAGACACGGCCCAGACUCCUACGGGAGGCAGCAGUGGGGAAUAUUGCACAAUGGGCGAAAGCCUGAUGCAGCGACGCCGCGUGAGGGAUGACGGCCUUCGGGUUGUAAACCUCUUUCAGCAGGGAAGAAGCGUGAGUGACGGUACCUGCAGAAGAAGCACCGGCUAACUACGUGCCAGCCGCCGCCGUAAAAC
This 481-nucleotide ribosomal RNA is filed under the name uncultured bacterium. RNAcentral's name for it is "bacterial SSU rRNA". It matches the Rfam family "Bacterial small subunit ribosomal RNA", at positions 28 to 526 of the family's 1533-position model. The record is from RNAcentral.